AACGAACGCUGGCGGCAGGCCUAACACAUGCAAGUCGAACGAGUAAGAGCCGUAGCAAUACGGAGUUCUGCUAGUGGCGCACGGGUGAGUAACGCGUGGGAACGUGCCUUGGAGUUCGGGAUAACAGUUGGAAACGACUGCUAAUACCGAAUAUUCCCUCAGGGGGAAAGAUUUAUCGCUCCAAGAUCGGCCCGCGUAAGAUUAGGUAGUUGGUGGGGGUAAUGGCCUACCAAGCCUACGAUCUUUAGCUGGUCUGAGAGGACGACCAGCCACACUGGAACUGAGACACGGUCCAGACUCCUACGGGAGGCAGCAGUGGGGAAUAUUGGACAAUGGGCGAAAGCCUGAUCCAGCCAUGCCGCGUGAAUGAUGAAGGCCUUAGGGUUGUAAAAUU
Molecule: ribosomal RNA, 394 nt
Filed under: uncultured bacterium
Lineage: Bacteria
Description: bacterial SSU rRNA
Rfam family: Bacterial small subunit ribosomal RNA
Source: RNAcentral